This 72-nucleotide transfer RNA is filed under the name Camelus ferus (Wild Bactrian camel). It matches the Rfam family "tRNA". Rfam says of the family: Transfer RNA (tRNA) molecules are approximately 80 nucleotides in length. Their secondary structure includes four short double-helical elements and three loops (D, anti-codon, and T loops). Further hydrogen bonds mediate the characteristic L-shaped molecular structure. tRNAs have two regions of fundamental functional importance: the anti-codon, which is responsible for specific mRNA codon recognition, and the 3' end, to which the tRNAs corresponding amino acid is attached (by aminoacyl-tRNA synthetases). tRNAs cope with the degeneracy of the genetic code in two manners: having more than one tRNA (with a specific anti-codon) for a particular amino acid; and 'wobble' base-pairing, i.e. permitting non-standard base-pairing at the 3rd anti-codon position. Lineage: Eukaryota; Metazoa; Chordata; Mammalia; Artiodactyla; Camelidae. The record is from Rfam by way of RNAcentral.
GAGGGUAUAGCUCAGUGGUAGAGUGCAUGCCUAGCAUGCACAAAGUCCUGGGUUCAAUUCCCAGUACCUCUC